GUUUUGUAUGAAAGGAGAAAAGAUUGGUAUCCCCCUAGAUAAGAGGUUCUAGUGACCUUUAGCACAUAUAUGGUUAAGCCACAGCUACCUGCUCUUUGG
RNAcentral lists this non-coding RNA (99 nucleotides) under Vombatus ursinus (common wombat). Lineage: Eukaryota; Metazoa; Chordata; Mammalia; Diprotodontia; Vombatidae. The record is from RNAcentral.